This 476-nucleotide long non-coding RNA is filed under the name Amborella trichopoda. RNAcentral's name for it is "long non-coding RNA (ATRI_LNC002727)". The record is from RNAcentral. Lineage: Eukaryota; Viridiplantae; Streptophyta; Magnoliopsida; Amborellales; Amborellaceae.
AAAUGUGAAAUGUGUGUGUGAGAGGAAAAAUGUAAAGCCUGAGAGAGAGAAUAUGUAGAUCUCUUAGGGUGUGUUUGAUUUCUAGAAAGUUUAAUUUUGUAAGCCGUAUUUUUUAAUACUUUAGCAGUUCUUCGUUUGAUAACGGGGGAGUUUUACAAUAAAAUGAUACGCUGGUAUUCACUUGCCUUACAUUUAAGGUAAAAAAGUGGAUACCAUUAGUUCCAUGAAGAACUUUGAACUUGAGGCACCCAUUUUCUUUGAAGAUGAAGUUUCCAACUUGCACCUUCCCAACAUGCCUUUAAGGAGAGAUAUUGAUAGCCACAUUGCCAAAAAGAGAAUACCCAUCUAUCUUUGAAAACUUAAACUAGUGUUACAUUGGUUAGACACACUCUCUCACUCUCUCUCUCUCUAUAUAUAUAAAUAAAUAAAAAAUUAACAAUAGCUGGGUAGCUAUAAUGAAUAGUAAUAUAGAUAGA